This 621-nucleotide ribosomal RNA is filed under the name Staurocladia wellingtoni. RNAcentral describes it as "16S ribosomal RNA". It matches the Rfam family "Bacterial large subunit ribosomal RNA", at positions 1807 to 2610 of the family's 2925-position model. Lineage: Eukaryota; Metazoa; Cnidaria; Hydrozoa; Anthoathecata; Cladonematidae. The record is from RNAcentral.
CCAAAAACAUAGCCCUUAUAUAAAUUAAAGGUGUAACCUGCCCAAUGAUCAUUAAUUAAAAAAUUAUAAAAAUAUUUUAAUAUGAUUUAAAGGACGCGGUAUCCUGACCGUGAUAAUGUAGCAUAAUCAUUCGCCAUUUAAUUGAUGGAUAGUAUGAAUGGUCAAACGAGUAUAACACUGUCUCUAAUAAAAUAUUUAUGAAAUUGAAAUAAUAGUAAAGAUACUAUUUAAAAUUAUAAGACGAAAAGACCCUAUAGAGCUUAACUAUAAUUUUUCAUUAUAAUAAUUAAAUUUAUUUAAUUAAACUGAAAAAUUGGUAGUUUAGUUGGGGCGACUAUCUUUUAAAAUUAACAAAGAUAAGCAAAAUUAAUAAAAUAAUUUAUUGUAUAAUUAAUAAAUUUAACAAUUAUAAACAUAGGCUAUAAUGACCCGUUAUCAUUUCAAAAUUUAAGUUAACGAUUAUUAAAUAAAAGCUACCUUAGGGAUAACAGGAUAAUUUUAUUUUAGAGUUCUUAUCGAAAAUAAAGUUUGUCACCUCUAUGUUGAAUUAAGAUAUCCUAAUAAUGCAGAAGUUAUUAAAGGUAGGUCUGUUCGACCUUUAAAAUCUUACAUGAUUUGAGU